GAUGAAGAACGUAGCGAAAUGCGAUAAGUAAUGUGAAUUGCAGAAUUCAGUGAAUCAUCGAAUCUUUGAACGCACCUUGCACCCUUUGGCAUUCUGAAGGGUAUGCUCGUUUGAGUGUCAUUGUACUCUCACACUCCCGAUCUUUGCAUUGGGAGCAGUGGACUUGGGUUUGCUGCUUCACCGUCGCUUACCUCAAAUAGGUUAGUGCAACUCUUGGUUGGACAUAGUACGGCGUGAUAAGUGUUCUUCGCCGGUGCCUCGCAAAGAGGGUGGCCGAUCGGGAUGUUGUGCUCCAAACCGUCUUCGGACAAUCUCUGACGACUUGACCUCAAAUCGAGUAAGACUACCCGCUGAACUUAAGCAUAUCAAUAGCGGAGGA
Molecule: unclassified non-coding RNA, 379 nt
Filed under: soil metagenome
Description: partial contains 5.8S ribosomal RNA, internal transcribed spacer 2, and large subunit ribosomal RNA
Rfam family: 5.8S ribosomal RNA (bases 1-120)
Source: RNAcentral